This 403-nucleotide ribosomal RNA is filed under the name Rhipicephalus sulcatus. Its description in RNAcentral is "partial 16S ribosomal RNA". Lineage: Eukaryota; Metazoa; Arthropoda; Arachnida; Ixodida; Ixodidae. The record is from RNAcentral.
GGAAAUUAAAAGUUGAACAAACUUCUUUUUUUAAUAUCUGCAUUAAAAAAGCAUCCUAAUCCAACAUCGAGGUCGCAAACUUUUUUGUCAAUAUGAUCUAUCAAAAAAUAUAACGCUGUUAUCCCUAGAGUAUUUAACAUAUAAUCAUUAAUAAUGGAUCAUUUUAUUCCUAAAAAGUUUAAAAUAUUUUUUAGCCGCCCCAGCCAAAAUUUUUUCAAUAGUAAUUACAUAUUGAAUAAAAUUUAAUAAAUUCAUAGGGUCUUCUUGUCCUUAAUAUUAAUAAUUGUUUCUGCACAAAUUAAAAAAAUUUCAAUUUUUAAUUUAAAAAAAGUUUUUUUCUGGACUUCCAUUCUCUUAGCAUUCAAUUAAAAUCUUAUUUCAAUACCUUUGUAUAGUCAAAAUA